This 247-nucleotide long non-coding RNA is filed under the name Capsicum annuum. RNAcentral describes it as "long non-coding RNA (CANN_LNC010208)". The record is from RNAcentral. Lineage: Eukaryota; Viridiplantae; Streptophyta; Magnoliopsida; Solanales; Solanaceae.
UGGAGGAGCUAUUUAAAAGGUAAUAGCCUUACAACUGGUGGGGCUAUGAAAAUAUAAAAUUCCUAAAUUAGAAGGAGAAUAUCUAAAAGAAGUAAAAUGUUUGUGUUUGAAUGCAAGAGCUUUGAAAAGGAAAGUCAAUUGCCUGUAUUUAGAGGUGGGGGCCUUGAAUGAAAAUUGAAUAUAUUUAUGUGAAGGUAUGCUUUUAAAAGGAAAAGCCAACUGCCCGUAUUUGGAGGUGGGUGCCUUG